GAAAUUACGCCUUCCAUGAAGCCGGAAUUGCUGUAAUGGCAGGUCAGCAUACUGCCGUGAAUACGUUCCCGGGCCUUGUACACACCGCCCGUCACACCAUGAGAGUUGGAAAUACCCGAAGCCUGUGAGCUAACUGUAAAGAGGCAGCAGUCGAAGGUAGAGCCAAUGAUUGGGGUGAAGUCGUAACAAGGUAAC
RNAcentral lists this ribosomal RNA (195 nucleotides) under uncultured bacterium. RNAcentral describes it as "partial 16S ribosomal RNA". It matches the Rfam family "Bacterial small subunit ribosomal RNA", at positions 1307 to 1500 of the family's 1533-position model. The record is from RNAcentral.